UACGGAGGGUGCGAGCGUUGUCCGGAAUCAUUGGGCGUAAAGGGCGCGUAGGUGGCCCGGUCAGUCCGUGGUGAAAGCGCGGGGCUCAACCCCGCGUCGGCCAUGGAUACUGCUGGGCUGGAGCACUGUAGAGGCAGGCGGAAUUCCGGGUGUAGCGGUGGAAUGCGUAGAGAUCCGGAAGAACACCGGUGGCGAAGGCGGCCUGCUGGGCAGUUGCUGACACUGAGGCGCGAUAGCGUGGGGAGCAAACAGG
This 253-nucleotide ribosomal RNA is filed under the name uncultured bacterium. Its description in RNAcentral is "partial 16S ribosomal RNA". It matches the Rfam family "Bacterial small subunit ribosomal RNA", at positions 524 to 776 of the family's 1533-position model. The record is from RNAcentral.